UCAAGCUACUAAGAGUGUAUGGAGGAUGCCUUGGCGUCAGAUGGCGAUGAAGGACGUGAUAGCCUGCGAAAAGUUCCGUGGAGCCGGCAAUAGGCAUUGAAGCGGAAAUGUCCGAAUCGGGAAACCGUAUUGGGUAAACCCCAAUAAUUCCCACCUGAAUUAAUAGGGUGGGGUAAGCCGACCGGGUGAAGUGAAACAUCUCAGUAACCCGAGGAAAAGAAAUCGAACAGAUUCCCCAAGUAGCGGCGAGCGAAAGGGGAACAGCUCAAACCUUGUGUGUGUAAGCCUGUGAGCGUUGCAUAUGAGGGGUUGUAGGGCUUGCAUGAUCGUUUUACAGAGCGGUUGUGGAGUUACAAAAGAAUCAGAUAACCGAAGGGCCUGGGACGGUCCGACACAGAGGGUGAAAUCCCCGUAGGUGAAAUCUAAUUCUCUCCAAGCAAGUUCCUGAGUACCACGAGACACGUGAAACCUUGUGGGAACCUGGGCAGACCACUGUCCAAAGCUAAAUACAAGCUGACGACCGAUAGUGAAACAGUACCGUGAGGGAAAGGUGAAAAGCACCCCUAAUGGGGAGUGAAACAGUACCUGAAACCAUACACUUACAAUCAGUUGAAGCACUAUUUUAGGAGGUUUAUAGCUUACGGGUUAUAAACGCCUAUCAGUGUAACAGCGUGCCUUUUGCAUAAUGAUCCGGAGAGUUAUUAAAUGAAGCGAGGUUAAGCCCCGUAUGAGGGGUGGAGCCGUAGCGAAAGCGAGUCUUAAAAGGGCGAUUCAGUUUCAUUUAUUAGACCCGAAGCGGGACGAUCUAGCCAUGACCAGGGUGAAGCCUUGUUAACACGAGGUGGAGGCCCGAACCGAUGUAUGUUGAAAAAUGCUCGGAUGAGUUGUGGAUAGGGGUGAAAAGCCAAUCGAGUUCCGUGAUAGCUGGUUCUCCUCGAAAUAUCUUUAGGGAUAGCCUUGGGAAGUAGUUAGUGGUGGUAGAGCACUGAUUGGGCUAGGGGCCUUAACAGGUUACCAAAUCCUUUCAAACUCCAAAUGCCAUUAACGUAAUCCCAGGAGUCAGUCUGUCAGCGCUAAGGUUGACGGUCGAAAGGGAAUCAACCCAGCCCAUCAGCUAAGGUCCCCAAGUACAUGCUAAGUGGUAAAGGAUGUGGAGUCGCAUAAACAACCAGGAUGUUGGCUUAGAAGCAGCCAUCAUUUAAAGAGUGCGUAACAGCUCACUGUUCGAGCGAUUCUGCGCCGACAAUUUAACGGGGCUCAAGCAUGUCACCGAAGCUGUGGAUUUGUAUCCUCUUAGGAGGGUACAUCUGGUAGAGGAGCGUUCUGUGUUAGGAUGAAGGUCGACCGUAAGGACGGCUGGACGAAACAGAAGUGAUCAUUCCGGAUUAAGUAGCGUAAAAGCGUGUGAAAAACAUGCUCGCCGUAAAUCUAAGGUUUCCUCGAGCAAGGGUAAUCCGCUCAGGGUAAGUCGGUUCCUAAGUCGAGGCUGAAAAGCGUAGAUAAUGGACAUCAGGUUAAAAUUCCUGAACCGCCAAAACACGUUAUCACCAAUGGAGAGACGCAGGAAGAUAGGAGAACCCGGCCGAUGGUCGUGCCGGGAGGGGCUCAUAGAUGGACUCGUAGGUAAAAUCCGCGAGUCAUAUACAUCGAGGGGUCACUCGAGCCGCAAGGUGAAGUCUUUGACUCUACGCUGCCAAGAAAAUCUUCUAGGGAGUGUUAGGCGACCGUACCGCAAACCGACUCAGGUAGAUGAGGAGAGAAUCCUAAGGCGCUCGAGUAAUGUGUUGUCAAGGAACUCGGCCAAUUACUCUCGUAACUUCGGGAAAAGAGAGGCCCUCUUACGUGAAAGGCUUGCGCCUGUAGCGCGAAGGGGUCGCAGAGAAAUGGCUCAGGCGACUGUUUAACAAAAACACAGCACUCUGCUAAGUCGAAAGACGAUGUAUAGGGUGUGACUCCUGCCCGGUGCUGGAAGGUUAAGGGGAUGGGUUAGCGUAAGCGAAGCUCAGAACCGAAGCCCCAGUAAACGGCGGCCGUAACUAUAACGGUCCUAAGGUAGCGAAAUUCCUUGUCGGGUAAGUUCCGACCUGCACGAAUG
RNAcentral lists this ribosomal RNA (2095 nucleotides) under soil metagenome. RNAcentral's name for it is "bacterial LSU rRNA". It matches the Rfam family "Bacterial large subunit ribosomal RNA", at positions 3 to 1998 of the family's 2925-position model. The record is from RNAcentral.